GUCGGAGUGCCUAGCAUGCAUAGCAUCGGGCUGAGACCGUUAAUUCGGGAUCCGCGGAACCUGAUCGGGUUAAUACCCGCGAAGGGAACAAGAGUAAU
RNAcentral lists this non-coding RNA (98 nucleotides) under Providencia rettgeri. RNAcentral's name for it is "TPP riboswitch (THI element)". It matches the Rfam family "TPP riboswitch aptamer (THI element)", at positions 9 to 90 of the family's 105-position model. Rfam says of the family: Vitamin B(1) in its active form thiamin pyrophosphate (TPP) is an essential coenzyme that is synthesised by coupling of pyrimidine and thiazole moieties in bacteria. Lineage: Bacteria; Pseudomonadati; Pseudomonadota; Gammaproteobacteria; Enterobacterales; Morganellaceae. The record is from RNAcentral.